UCCGUGCUAGAAACGAUGAUGUUGGUGUCGCACAUUAGACUUGUGUUUAAAUAGAGCUUUGCUCGUGAACCAAAUAUGGUGGGCUGGGUUGUCUUUGCGGAAACGCUUGGGCGACUUGUCUGCGAAUUGUAAUCAUAAUAUGGGCGGCGGUGAAUCCUUUGCAGACGACUUGAAUGGGAACGGGGUACUGUAAGUGGUAGAGUAGCCUUGUUGCUACGAUCCACUGAGGUUAAGCCCUUGUUCUAAAGAUUUGU
This 254-nucleotide ribosomal RNA is filed under the name Armillaria sp. Qp Fgor. Its description in RNAcentral is "partial 28S ribosomal RNA". It matches the Rfam family "Eukaryotic large subunit ribosomal RNA", at positions 3141 to 3401 of the family's 3401-position model. Lineage: Eukaryota; Fungi; Basidiomycota; Agaricomycetes; Agaricales; Physalacriaceae. The record is from RNAcentral.